Molecule: ribosomal RNA, 253 nt
Filed under: uncultured bacterium
Lineage: Bacteria
Description: partial 16S ribosomal RNA
Rfam family: Bacterial small subunit ribosomal RNA
Source: RNAcentral
UACGUAGGGUGCAAGCGUUAAUCGGAAUUACUGGGCGUAAAGCGUGCGCAGGCGGUUGUGCAAGACAGAUGUGAAAUCCCCGGGCUUAACCUGGGAACUGCAUUUGUGACUGCACGGCUAGAGUGUGGCAGAGGGGGGUAGAAUUCCACGUGUAGCAGUGAAAUGCGUAGAUAUGUGGAGGAAUACCGAUGGCGAAGGCAGCCCCCUGGGAUAACACUGACGCUCAUGCACGAAAGCGUGGGGAGCAAACAGG